Molecule: non-coding RNA, 74 nt
Organism: Henosepilachna vigintioctopunctata
Lineage: Eukaryota; Metazoa; Arthropoda; Insecta; Coleoptera; Coccinellidae
Source: the annotation of a GenBank genome assembly
GUCUCCGUGGUUUAGUUGGAAGAAUACCCGACUAUGGUGCGGUAAAACUCGGGUUCGAGCCCCGGUGAAAGGCA